GACCUGGUGGUGGAGGGUAUCACACCUGCACUCAGUAAAUAGGCCAUAUUCAUCUGUCUGCAGAAGCUCCUGGUUCGACUCCAGGCUAGGUCA
Molecule: non-coding RNA, 93 nt
Organism: Mycena vulgaris
Lineage: Eukaryota; Fungi; Basidiomycota; Agaricomycetes; Agaricales; Mycenaceae
Source: the annotation of a GenBank genome assembly